GGAGAUUUAGCUCAGCGGUAGAGCACUUGCCUAGGAAGCGCAAGGCCCUGGGUUCGGUCCCCAGCUCCA
This 69-nucleotide transfer RNA is filed under the name Rattus norvegicus (Norway rat). It matches the Rfam family "tRNA". From Rfam's summary of the family: Transfer RNA (tRNA) molecules are approximately 80 nucleotides in length. Their secondary structure includes four short double-helical elements and three loops (D, anti-codon, and T loops). Further hydrogen bonds mediate the characteristic L-shaped molecular structure. tRNAs have two regions of fundamental functional importance: the anti-codon, which is responsible for specific mRNA codon recognition, and the 3' end, to which the tRNAs corresponding amino acid is attached (by aminoacyl-tRNA synthetases). tRNAs cope with the degeneracy of the genetic code in two manners: having more than one tRNA (with a specific anti-codon) for a particular amino acid; and 'wobble' base-pairing, i.e. permitting non-standard base-pairing at the 3rd anti-codon position. Lineage: Eukaryota; Metazoa; Chordata; Mammalia; Rodentia; Muridae. The record is from Rfam by way of RNAcentral.